GCACAAAACCCAAUGAUGGAAUAAAUUAAAAGAGAAGGUAUAGAAACAUGCUACAAAAUCUACUAUUUGUGUUAGAAGAUGUUUCACUGUAUUUAUUCGCAUUGGGAUUUCAGAGCAGCCAGGCCUUUGUAACUACCAAAUCCUUGCUAUUUGGUUUUUCCAUUUAAAUUUUCUUUAAGUUGAAGUUACUGGUAUUUCAGAACUGUCAUUUGGGUGGUAAAUGAGCAAAUGAGACAUGGAGGAGACAGAAGCACAGGUAGGGAGAGGGAAUGGCAAGUAAUGAGAAGGGGGGCAGAUGUGCAAAAUGGGAGUUGGGGGAGUAAAGAAGUGAGUCCCAAAAUGGAGCAAUGAGCAGAGGGAGGGAAAUAAGAAGAACCAAGGAGCUUGGGGGAGCAUUGCAUAAUUUUCAUCAGUCCAAGCAAUAUGGUUAUAUGGCUUCCAGUUGUCACUCCCUCUAAAUGUGAAGUGCCAAUAGGACUAGAUGCAAAAUCAGGUCACUGAGAAAUGACCUAAUUUCAGCCUCCCUGGAAAAAAAAAUCUCUAAAGCUUCUAAAAAUGCAAUUAAAAAACCCGCAACUUUAAGGAGUCCCCAACUAAGCAUGCUUAGUAGUUGUGUCAGUUGGAAAAGACUAAUGAAAAAAUGGGUGGGGGAGGCUUUUCUGUUUAACCUGACUGGUACCCUAAUCUCUUCUGUUAGGGAGUGAUGGAACAUUGAGACUCUGCGGCAGGUCCCCUUGUCUACACCUACUACACAACUAAUUGAAGAUUGAGAAAACAGAACAUUCAAUGGUGCAUUUCAGUAUUUCACUAUAAGAUCCCCACAUUCAAAAAUGUAGUGCAAAUAGUGUUGCUUUCAUUGACAGGCUAAAUUUAGCUGCCCUUGGCUGGCUUUGUUUUGGUAGUUUAAAAUGUAUUCUGUGAAUGAGCCAAUGACAGGGGAAUAUUUGUGUUCCUCAUUAUGUCUCCCUAAGAAUGGGUAGAAACUGAUAUGAAGUGAGUCCUCAAAGGGAGCAAGAGAGGUUCACUGUCACCAAUGAGAAAAUCAAAAUAAUGUUAUAAAAGCUGACUUGAAAAUGUUUCACAGAAGGGGAUGCCUUAACUGGUUCAAAAAUGGUGCCAUGCGUUACUUAAUGGAAUCAUCAUGCUUUCUGCUGCAGGAAUGACGAGAAAUUCCCAGCAUGUUAUUGUUGUUGCUAUUAUUACAGUUCCUUAGAAAUUCUCAUGCAUAUAAUGGAUCCGUUGCUGUUGCUGUCUACAGCUGUAAAAUCUGAAGGCUUUUUAAACUCCUCUCUGCUAAUGAACUAUUGUCUACGGGAAAGCCUUGAAACAACCUUGGGGCAAAUCCUAGCUCUCUAACAGCUGGAGUAGGGAGAGGAGGUUAAAUGAUCAAGUUAUACUGUGUAAUUAGUGAUUCUUCCAACUGGAAGUGUCUAGCAAAGAAGCAUUCGUCAUUUUUGUUCUCUUAUCAAUCACUACCAGUUUUUAUCUAAGGCAGGCAUGGGCAACCUUGGCCCUCCAGAUGUUUUGGGACUACAACUCCCAUGAUCCCUAGCUAACAGGACCAGUGGUCAGGGAUGAUGGGAAUUGUAGUCCCAAAACAUCUGGAGGGCUGAGGUUGCCUAUGCCUGAUCUAAGGGAAUGAGCUAUUCAUUCUACAUUUAUUUUAUAAGUCCUCAUGUCUUUGGGGAGUGUGCCUAGAUAAGAAUUUAACUCCACAUGGGCUUUAGCAAAAGAAGGAAAGGUGAAGCACUCCUUGCUUCUUCAUAGUUUUGUGUUUUUGCGUGUGAAGACCCCCCCAAACCACCCUCAAAAUAAAAACACAACAGACACAGAUUUUGUUUAAGGUUUUUGGCAUAAAUUUGGCCACAACUUUACUGAUUACAGCAUGUGAGUGGUUGCUUAGGCAUUGGUUCCAGACUACCUGAAUCUGCACGACAACAGGAACAGGACUGACACUGGGCACCACCAUAUGUCAGUAAGGGAAAGCAUCCUGCGGGAGUGAGAACUCCUUAGACCUCACAGCUCACCCCAGAUGCUCCAGGGGCUCUGGCAUGGCCCUAGCCCCUUGACAGGGUUCGGACAAAAGCAAGGUGAGCCCCUGGAUUCCUUUAACGGAAUUCCCUAGCAGCAGCAAUGGAGGGGCAGGCACAGCCAACCACAUCCCCUCCCCAAAACAUUGAACCAAAUGCCUAACUGCUAACCUUACAAAGUUGUGAUGAUUUGCUACAUGAUAGGCAAAAACCAAGUGGCACCAGCCAAUCAGCCAAAUGGCAAAAUUCCUACCGGGCCCCUGCUCCAAAACAGACAACCCCUAGACAGGCAUAGCAAGGCCAAUAGAACAACCCUAAAUAUAGGGAGAGGAGGGUGGGAGAUCCACUGCACGUCACAAGAAAGAGAAACUCUCCAGCGAUGUGCAGCAGCUUAAAAGCCCAUAGGAAGCCAAUAGCCAUCCCAACCAGGCACAUUUCUGCCCCAGCAACAGAGGGCGUUGAGGCAAUCCAAACGGUCCCACCCCACAAAAGGGAGCCAGUUUCUGGUGAUCUCACCAACACGUGCCCUCCGUGAUGGAGGAUACAACUUUUCAGGUGGUGGGUAUUACCCAAAAUCACCUUGAGAUAUAUACUACAAUUAGGGCAGUUUCUAAAGCUUGAAAGUUAUGCAUAACCAUAACAAUAAUAGUGGCCAAAUGUUCAUUUACUUCAGUUCUGGCAGCCACUUUCCUUCUGUGGAAUGCUGAGGCAAAAAAGCCGCUCUCCUCUGCCCUGGUCAUCACAAGCUAUCAGGGCUGCAGAUACACCACUCCUCAUCCCCCUCUGCCCCAGUUAUAACUCUGCUCUUAAGUUAAUGCAUUUGCAAACAACAGCAACCACAACAGUGGGGAUGAAAGAAAAAGGCGGAAACAAACUCACUCCAAGCAUACCUACAGUUAUAGCACAUUAAGAAAGGGACAUAACCUUAUAAUGAUUAUUUAUUUUAUUUGAUAUUUCAAGCCAUUCUGCAAUAUUAGAUUAUUCUUUGGGGUCAUCGUUCCCCCCCCCCCCUUAUUGUAAGUGAAAUUCAGUGACAAUACUUAAAGUCUACACACUUUUCCAGUACAAAUCAUUCCAGGGUUUAUUAUCUUAAAAACGAAAAUGCCUUUAGUUCAGUUGGUAGAGCAUGAGACUCUUAAUUUGGCAUUGUGAGUUUGAGCCCUAAAUAGAGCAAAAAAAUAAAAAUAAAAAUCUGCAUUGCAGGUGGUUGGACUAGAUUACUCUUGCAGUCCCUUCCAACACUACCAUUCUAUGAUUCUAUGAUGUUUCUGGCAGUGACAAACACCUUUGGAAAAAAGAUACUUUCAUAUUUCAAAUAAAUGCUUGUGUCUACUUUUGAACAAAUAAAAAAUGCUGCCCAUUUCAAAUGUUAAGAUUUUCUUCAUAGUUUGUGGAUUUCAGUGGGUCUCCUUUGAAUAUGGCUUAUUUGAAAAGAACCCUAAUUAUUUAUAAUAAAAUAAAAUGGGGAAGAAACUUGUCUCCCUCUCAGUUUUAUCUAUGCGUGGAGAGGGAAUUUGGAUGAUUAUUUCCUUUUUGCGACCUUCGUAUCUCAUGUCAAGCAAUAUUGAUUCUUGCUAUAUUUAAGUGGGCCCUGUGCAUUUUUGUUAUGAGGAGUCAACCAAGAUUCUUGCAGCAGCAGAGGUUAUUUCUAUUUUUAUGCAUUACAAAUAAAUGUUGGCUGAGGAAUCCUUUUCUGAAAGAAAUGCUUUCAGGAUGAUUAAGUUUAGUAAUAACCUGCAUGCUUGCAGCAUGACAAACACAGCUUAUAUAAAGGUGUUGGGAAGAGUGCUUUCUUCGUGUACAGAUGCUACAUUUCUGUUAAUACAAACUGAGUCCCAACUGUUCCAGCUCCUCGUGUAAGUAAUUUAUGUGGGAAGGAAUCAGGGUUGCUAGCAAACUCCAACCCAAAUCAACAUUUUCACCUGAAUGUAGUAGAGGGUCUUUCUUUGUUGAUUUCUUUCACACUUUUCACACUAGUCAUAUGGAUUUGGACUGAGUCCUUAGAGUUCCUGAGGCAUUGUGAAUGGAGGUAUCUUCACCAUAUAUCAAGGACUGGAAUCUUUAGACAGCUUUAAUACCACAAAUUGGGUAUACCAGAAAGUGGGGGAAUCAGUAGGCCUUCAUACAUUCAUAGAAUCAUAGAAUUGGAGAGUUGGGAGGGAUCACAAGAAUCAUCUAGUUCAACCCCCUGCAAUAUAGAAAUCUUUUGCCCAGUGUGGGGCUCAAAUUCAUGACCCUGAGAUUCAGAGUCUCCUGCUCUAUUGACCAAGCUAUCCAGAGAUGUUGGACUCCAACUCCCAUCGGUCCUAGCCAACAUGAGCAAUGGUCAACAAGGAGACCAUAUCUUUGCCAUCCUUUGUCUUCCUAAUGCCACCUGUCGCUUUGUGGCCAGAAACGCUCAGUUUGUGGCAGUGAAAUGGGAAAUUAGAACUGGGCAUUGCUGAAUGCCCACUGUACAACUGGGGAUGCUAGGAAAUGUGAGAACUAAUCUCCCCAUGGGAAUACUUUGGAGGUGAUGCCUCCCUUUUAUGCCAUUAGGAACAUAAUGGUCUGGCGUCUGGAUUAAGAUUGCAUGUUAAGGAGAGGCCAGGAGCAGUCUCAGGUUGAACUGUUGUCACUGUCAUUAUAGCUUACUAUAUGUUGGGAUUUUUUUUAAAAAAAUAUAUAUAUAUAUAAAAUAUGGCAGAGCAUUCAAAUGUGUAACUCCACCCCAGUCACUAGCUAGGAACAGAAGAAUCUGACCAUUUUACUUCUCUCAGCUUUUCAUUUUUCCUAUCUUAUAUUCAGUUCUCCACAUUUAUUCAGCAAUUUGAGGAACUUUUCAAAAAGUUUGUUUUAAAUAAACAUACAGUGGUACCUCAGUUUAAGAACAGCCCUGUUUACUAACUAUUCAGUUUAUGAACUCCGCAAAACUGGAAGUAGUGCCCCAAUUUGCAAACUUUACCUUGGUCUAAGAACGUAAUCCGAACGGUGGAAGAGUUUGGAUUUUAUAUCCCGCUUUAUCACUACCUGAAGGAGUCUCAAAGCGGCUAACAUUCUCCUUUCCCUUCCUCCCCCACAACAAACACUCUGUGAGGUGAGCGGGGCUGAGAGACUUCAAAGAAGUGUGACUAGCCCAAGGUUACCCAGCAGCUGCAUGCCCUCCAGAUGUUUUGAUACUAGAAUUCCCAUCAUCCCUGACCACUGGUCCUGCUAGCUAGGGAUCAUGGGAGUUGUAGGUCAAAAACAUCUGGAGGGCUGAGUUUGAGGAAGCCUGGAUUAAGCUGUCAUAUGUGCACAGCCUGAAAUGUCUGAAAUGUACACAUCUUGUGUUAACAGUGGCUUGUGUUUUCGUUGCAAGUUUUCUUAGUCAAUAGACAGACCCGGGUUGUUCGAGGAAACGUCUUUAUUGUAGCUGUGCAGCUAGGCCACAGUCCCAAAAGACUGAAGCCCUGAACUCAUUUCAGAGCAGGCUAAUAUAGUAUUCAGUAGGCAAGUUUACAUGACGUAUGAAACAGGACACAUUGCAAGUCAAGAAGUUGACAUGAUGUAUGAGACAGGACAUAUUGCAAGCCAAGAAAUUGACAUGAUACCGACAGGAUCUACUAUUUUUGCAAGUGAGCCAUGACAUUCAGCUGCCCUGAUAAGAGCACUUCAAAGCAAGAUAGGCUAUUUGGCAAGCAGAAUGGGCAUCACAACAACUGUCCUGAUGAAAGCAAGAUAUACCGUUUUGCACACAAACAUAAGAUUACAUGAAUUCCACCCCACCGGUUCCUCCCUGCAGCUUAUGAUCUUCAAACAAGUUUCAACUGUGCCUUAGAUAAUAAUACUUCCUUACUCCCUAAGGCUGCCAACUCUUACAGUGUCCAGCUGGGUCAUGGCAACCUUUCUUUGAAUAGUUGAAUAGUUCACCCAUUAUGAGUUUGCAGGCUCAACUGCAGGCUUUCUACUCAGGCAGGCUUUCUACUCAGGCUUGGGGUAUAUCUUGGGGUACACGGUAUAUCCUGCUUAGGCUUUCUUCCUUCAUUUUCAGAUUAGAUGGAAGCUAAGAAGAGUUUUCUCAAGAAACUACCGGGUACAGGUGAACUGUGGCUAACACCAUGUGUGCUCAACUUCAGACACAACCUAAGGGAGUGCCCAACAAUGUGUACACAGCUUUACUUCUGAAGACAAAUGAAUAAGCUUGCACUGAAUAUUCCAGGAAUGCCUCAUCUCCCUUCUCAUGUCUACAUUUAAAAUGUUAGCCAAUCAGAACAGCCACCAGCCUUUUGAUUUUGUUACUCUGCUAAGUACCAUCUGGGCAAACUGCUGGUAUGACAUGCUUCUUUGCUUGUUUAGAUAUUAAGCAUUUGCGUGUUCAGACUUUUAAACCUCCCCCUUAAAUAAAUUCAGACAAGACUCAAAUUUUGGUUUGGUUUUUGGCAGAAUUUAGGCCACGGUUUUAUUGAUUACAGCAAGUGAGUGGUUGCAUAGGCUCUGGUUUGACUAGCUCCCUGCACUGUUGCAGGUAGCGCUGACCCAGGGCACCAGCAUAGGUCAGCCUAGGGUGAACACCUGGAUAAGUGGAAAGCU
RNAcentral lists this long non-coding RNA (6581 nucleotides) under Podarcis lilfordi (Lilford's wall lizard). The record is from RNAcentral. Lineage: Eukaryota; Metazoa; Chordata; Lepidosauria; Squamata; Lacertidae.